GAUGAACGCUGGCGGCGUGCUUAACACAUGCAAGUCGAGCGAGAUUAUUCUUCGGAAUAGUCUAGCGGCGGACGGGUGAGUAACACGUGGGCAACCUGCCUUGUAGAGGGGGAUAGCCUUCCGAAAGGAAGAUUAAUACCGCAUAGUGUUAUUGAAAGGCAUCUUUCGAUAAUCAAAGGAGCAAUCCGCUACAAGAUGGGCCGGCGGCGCAUUAGCUAGUUGGUGAGGUAACGGCUCACGAAGGCGACGAUGCGUAGCCGACCUGGGAGGGUGAUCGGCCACAUUGGGACUGAGACACGGCCCAGACUCCUACGGGAGGCAGCAGUGGGGAAUAUUGCACUAUGGGGGAAACCCUGAUGCAGCAACGCCGCGUGAGUGAUGACGGCCUUCGGGUUGUAAAGCUCUGUCUUUGGGGACGAUAAUGACGGUACCCAAGGAGGAAGUCACGGCUAACUACGUGCCAGCCGCCGCCGUAA
This 476-nucleotide ribosomal RNA is filed under the name uncultured bacterium. RNAcentral describes it as "partial 16S ribosomal RNA". It matches the Rfam family "Bacterial small subunit ribosomal RNA", at positions 28 to 523 of the family's 1533-position model. The record is from RNAcentral.